AUGGAGAAGACGUUAGAAACAAAGCUCAAUAACAAGUUUAAUGAAUUGCUCGUGCGUCUUCCACCACCACCACCGGCUGCACCUAACGAACAACUACUAGUAGUACUACUACAACAACUACUACUACUACCUCGACGUCGCAAAACAACCCUCCGCCGAGCGAGCUGUGUCCCUCUUGCGCCUGGCCAAACUGUUGGUGCUGCUGUUGAUACUUCUGUGGCUCCUGCUGCUGAUAACGAGGAGGAUGAUUAUGCGGGAGAUUACGAGGAUGAGGUUGAUCAAAAUCAGAACUACGUGCAACCACCAGCACCACAACCACCAGGUCGUCCACAUGCAAAUAAUCACAAUGGUAGGGCUCCCCCUCAGGUACGAGAUCAUGACCAUCUCCCUAAACUGAAAUUGAAUAUUCCACCAUUUGAGGGUAGAUACGUUCCUGAUAUAUAUCUUACUUGGGAGUAA
RNAcentral lists this ribosomal RNA (459 nucleotides) under Triticum aestivum (bread wheat). Its description in RNAcentral is "partial small subunit ribosomal RNA". Lineage: Eukaryota; Viridiplantae; Streptophyta; Magnoliopsida; Poales; Poaceae. The record is from RNAcentral.